AUGAUACUCCCUCCAUCCCAAAAUUAUUGUCUUAGAUUUUUCUAGAUACGGAUGUAUCUAACACUAAAAUGUAACUAGAUACAUCCAUAUUUAGACUAAUGUAAGACAACAAUUUUGGGACGGAGGGAGUAUUUG
Molecule: non-coding RNA, 135 nt
Organism: Triticum aestivum (bread wheat)
Lineage: Eukaryota; Viridiplantae; Streptophyta; Magnoliopsida; Poales; Poaceae
Source: Rfam